AGAUAAGUGGGAUCGUCUGAUAAUUUUACCGUGUAUUUUGUUCUGCUGCUCUUAAUCAGCAGAUUUAGCGUUUCGACGUUUAUUAAGGCUUAAUAAACUUUUCUAGACGGGGACGGGAUUUAGUUGUGUGCCAGGACCUUAUCAAAGACAAGCAAUCUCGAGCCAACUCCCCGAGGCUUUGGAGCUUGAAUUCACGUCGUCCCUUCACUGCAAACCAGCAGCACAAAGAAGAAUGACUGUGGUUCCAAACUUGAAAUCAAAGGGGUUAAACAGUUAUGUGCAGUUUGGCGAGAAGAAGGAGGGAGCGUGCCGCACCAGCGCCGUCCUCGGCCGGAACAAGGCCGCUCACUGUCAAGCGGAC
Oreochromis niloticus (Nile tilapia) is the source of this 361-nucleotide long non-coding RNA. RefSeq lists it as uncharacterized. The transcript has 3 exons. NCBI's taxonomy places the organism in Eukaryota, Metazoa, Chordata, Actinopteri, Cichliformes, Cichlidae. The record is from RefSeq and is a predicted model, not a curated record.